This 484-nucleotide ribosomal RNA is filed under the name uncultured bacterium. RNAcentral's name for it is "partial 16S ribosomal RNA". It matches the Rfam family "Bacterial small subunit ribosomal RNA", at positions 30 to 507 of the family's 1533-position model. The record is from RNAcentral.
AUUGAACGCUGGCGGCAGGCCUAACACAUGCAAGUCGAGCGGAUGAAGGGAGCUUGCUCCUGGAUUCAGCGGCGGACGGGUGAGUAAUGCCUAGGAAUCUGCCUGGUAGUGGGGGAUAACGUCCGGAAACGGGCGCUAAUACCGCAUACGUCCUGAGGGAGAAAGUGGGGGAUCUUCGGACCUCACGCUAUCAGAUGAGCCUAGGUCGGAUUAGCUAGUUGGUGGGGUAAAGGCCUACCAAGGCGACGAUCCGUAACUGGUCUGAGAGGAUGAUCAGUCACACUGGAACUGAGACACGGUCCAGACUCCUACGGGAGGCAGCAGUGGGGAAUAUUGGACAAUGGGCGAAAGCCUGGUCCAGCCAUGCCGCGUGUGUGAAGAAGGUCUUCGGAUUGUAAAGCACUUUAAGUUGGGAGGAAGGGCAGUAAGUUAAUACCUUGCUGUUUUGACGGUACCAACAGAAUAAGCACCGGCUAACUACGUG